Long non-coding RNA from Numida meleagris (helmeted guineafowl), 576 nucleotides. NCBI's taxonomy places the organism in Eukaryota, Metazoa, Chordata, Aves, Galliformes, Numididae. The record is from Ensembl.
GUUAAGUGCCAAACCAAAGGCAUUUUUCUCUCUGCUCUUUUUCCUCAGGGCAAAUGGCUUGUGAGCAUGCAUGGUUGUGGCACAGCAUGGCCACUGUGAGGUUGCAGGAUGUCAGACUAAGUGCAUGCUGCUGCUUGGGAAGGAGAAGAUGUAAGCCAUGAGAGGACUGCAGAGCAGGCUUGGGGAAUGCAGAUUUGGUCUCUCAGCCUAAGCCAGGCCAUCCUUCCCUCCUUUGAAAUGGAGAGCAGGGGAUGUGGAGAUCUGUCGCAACGCGCAUGCCGAAGUCACCCGCUGUACCAAUAUGGUUAUCGCGUAGUGCUUAAUUUAUUGCAAUUCGACUACAACAUUUAUAGAGCAUCAGGUAGGCGUUGCGCGCUACAACACUGCUAAUUGGACGGCGGAUAUCAUCACAUAGGCAUUCUUGCAGUUAGAUAGUGGUUAGCAGUCCCGUAAAGCACAACCUGGAGGCGUAGAUGUUUGACCUUGCAACACAGCAGCUGUUCCUCGUCUCAGGCAUCCAAGGACACUCCAGGGAUUACUCGAGCAUGUUCUAAUAAAUAUGCCCACUGUCCAUCA